CCUACGGGUGGCUGCAGUCGAGAAUCUUCGGCAAUGGGCGCAAGCCUGACCGAGCGACGCCGCGUGCGGGAUGAAGGCCCUCGGGUUGUAAACCGCUGUCAGGGGGGAUGAAAUUCCAUGGGGUUCUCCCCAUGGAUUGACAGAGCCCCAGAGGAAGCACGGGCUAAGUUCGUGCCAGCAGCCGCGGUAAUACGAACUGUGCGAACGUUAUUCGGAAUCACUGGGCUUACAGGGUGUGUAGGCGGCCUGUUAAGCAGGGUGUGAAAUCCUCCGGCUCAACCGGGGAACGGCGCUCUGGACUGGCGGGCUUGAGUGCGCUAGGGGUGUGUGGAACUUCCAGUGGAGCGGUGAAAUGUGUUGAUAUUGGAAGGAACACCGGUGGCGAAAGCGACACACUGGGGCGUAACUGACGCUGAGACACGAAAGCCAGGGGAGCGAAC
RNAcentral lists this ribosomal RNA (440 nucleotides) under uncultured bacterium. Its description in RNAcentral is "bacterial SSU rRNA". It matches the Rfam family "Bacterial small subunit ribosomal RNA", at positions 338 to 773 of the family's 1533-position model. The record is from RNAcentral.